UCAAUGGCCUUUUUAAAGGCCAUAAAAGCUUAGAGUUAUUUCUAA
This is a non-coding RNA of Echinostoma caproni, 45 nucleotides long. Lineage: Eukaryota; Metazoa; Platyhelminthes; Trematoda; Plagiorchiida; Echinostomatidae. The record is from Rfam.